Molecule: RNA transcript, 3947 nt
Organism: Hippocampus zosterae (dwarf seahorse)
Lineage: Eukaryota; Metazoa; Chordata; Actinopteri; Syngnathiformes; Syngnathidae
Gene: hmgcra
Gene name: 3-hydroxy-3-methylglutaryl-CoA reductase a
Exons: 21
Source: RefSeq, a predicted model, not a curated record
CGUAUGAUGUAGUAGCGUGCCAUGGUUCCAUGUGGCCUCGCAUAAUUGCAAAAUCCGCUCAACUUGGAUGAAUUUUAUGUCAGGAGUUUCAAGUCCAGCCCACUCCCUCUCCUCUUAAUUUAUCGCUAAACCUCUGUCGCAUUCCACUGUCUUCACCCUCACAGUUGUCGUCCACCAUGCUGACCCACUUGUUCCGUAUUCAUGGCCAUGUGGUGGCUUCCCAUCCAUGGGAGGUCAUCGUAGGCACCGUCACCCUCACGGUCUGUAUGAUGUCGAUGAAUAUGUUCACUGGAAACGACCAAAUCUGUGGCUGGAACUUUGACUGCCCUAAAACAGAUGAGCAAAUUCUGAGCAGUGACAUCAUCAUCCUGACCAUCACACGUUGCAUUGCCAUCAUCUACAUUUACUUCCAGUUCCAGAACUUAAGACAACUGGGAUCCAAAUAUAUUUUAGGCAUUGCAGGGCUUUUCACGAUUUUUUCCAGCUUCGUAUUCAGCACCGUGGUCAUUCACUUCCUUGAUAAAGAGCUGACUGGCCUUAACGAGGCGUUACCUUUCUUUCUGCUCCUGAUCGACCUGUCCAAAGCAUGCGCCCUUGCAAAGUUUGCCCUUAGCUCCAAUUCUCAGGAUGAAGUUAGGGAAAAUAUUGCUCGAGGUAUGGCAGUAUUGGGACCUACAUUCACCUUAGAUGCUCUGGUGGAGUGCUUAGUGAUCGGUGUGGGAACCAUGUCAGGUGUUCGACAGUUAGAAAUAAUGUGCUGCUUUGGCUGCAUGUCUAUUUUGGCCAACUAUUUUGUCUUCAUGACAUUCUUCCCUGCAUGUGUGUCACUUGUUCUGGAGCUUUCUCGUGAGAGUCAGGAAGGCCAUCCGAUUUGGCAGUUGAGCCAGUUCUCUCAGGUGCUGGAGGAAGAGCAGGAUAACAAACCAAAUCCUGUCACCCAGAGAGUAAAAAUGAUUAUGUCCCUGGGCCUUGUUAUGGUUCAUGCUCACAGUAGGUGGAUUGCUGAGCCCCUGUUGCUCAAUGCUACAGUGGGAAUUCCACAGGGUGCCAUUGAUGAAGAACGCCUGUACCCCAGGAGGAUCGAACCAGAGAUACCUCUGUGGCAUUUUUACCUUACCAGAAUGAUCACCAUGGAUAUUGAGCAGGUAAUCUGCUUGUCCUUGGCUCUGCUUCUGGCCAUCAAGUACAUCUUCUUUGAGCAAGCGGAGACGGAGUCUACCCUAUCAAUAAGGAACCACAUCACUAUGUCCACCCUGCCCCUGGCUCCACGGCAGGCCAUGGAGACUUGCUGCAGGAAGGAACUUGAGCUUCUACAACACCACACACCCUCUCCCAUUUUGCCUUCCACCACACUAUCCAACGGGAAAGAUAUAGGUUCUCCAGAUGAGGUUAUCCGGCCCCUGCUCAGUCCUCUUAAUGAUCCUGGGUCUCAUAAUGACUUCAUUCUUGGUGGAGAAGAAGGGACCAAAUCUGAUAGCACAGAGCCUCACCUUCCAUUGAAGCGAAGAGGCAUUUUUGAAUGUGUGGCCAUUCUCAACAAUCCACAGCAAGGACCUCGUUUCUUGAGUGAUGCUGAGGUGAUGAUGCUGGUCGACUCCAAACACAUUCCUGCUUACAAACUGGAGGGCGUCAUGGAGAAGCCUGAGAGAGGUGUGGCCAUACGGAGACAGAUGCUGUCAGAAAAGCUCUCCUCUCCCUCUGCACUCUCAUCGUUGCCAUUCACAGAUUAUGACUACUCCAAGGUUAUGGGCACCUGCUGUGAGAACGUCAUUGGAUAUAUACCGGUGCCGGUGGGCGUGGCUGGGCCGUUACAUCUGGAUGGGAAGCAGUUCCAAGUUCCCAUGGCGACAACUGAGGGAUGCCUUGUGGCGAGCACGAAUCGAGGAUGUCGGGCAAUUGCGCUUGGAGGUGGAGCCAGGAGUUGCAUCCUGGCCGAUAGCAUGACCCGUGGGCCUGUGGUGAGGCUGCCUUCUGCUUGCCAGGCUGCUGAGGUUAAAGCCUGGCUCGAGAGCAAUGAUGGCUUCCAAGCAAUCAAAGAAGCCUUUGAUAGCACCAGCAGGUUUGCUCGGCUCCAGAAGCUUCUUGUUGGUCUGGCUGGAAGAAAUCUCUACAUUCGUUUUCAUUCGAAGACAGGUGAUGCAAUGGGAAUGAAUAUGAUCUCGAAGGGUACAGAGCAAGCUUUGAACAAACUUCAGCAGCACUUUCCAGAGCUGCAUGUUUUGGCUGUCAGUGGGAACUACUGUACAGAUAAGAAACCAGCUGCAAUCAACUGGAUAGAAGGCAGAGGAAAAUCAGCAGUCUGUGAGGCCACCAUCCCUGCUCAUGUGGUCAGAGAGGUUUUGAAGACCUCGACAGAAGCUCUGGUGGACGUGAACAUCAAUAAAAACCUGGUGGGCUCAGCCAUGGCUGGCAGCAUCGGCGGAUUUAACGCACAUGCAGCUAACUUGGUAGCAGCCAUAUACAUUGCCUGUGGACAGGACCCUGCCCAGUCAGUGAGCAGCAGUAAUUGCAUCACCCUGAUGGAGGUUUCAGGCCCGACAGGGGAAGACCUUUACAUCAGCUGCACCAUGCCCUCCAUAGAGCUCGGCACUGUAGGGGGCGGAACAAACCUGCCUCCCCAACAAGCUUGCCUCCAGAUGCUGGGAGUACAGGGGGCCAGUGAGGUUUGUCCGGGGGAGAAUGCCAGGCAGCUUGCCAAAGUGGUGUGUGCCACUGUGCUGGCUGGAGAGCUGUCACUCAUGUCUGCCCUGGCAGCUGGCCACCUGGUCAAGAGUCACAUGACACAUAACAGAUCCAAGAUGAACCUCCAAGAGAGCGUGGGAACCUGCACCAAGCAAGCCUCCUGAGACCAUGAAGGCAGCAUGGUUCCCCUCCGUGUGCUCUGUCACUUGCUGAAUCAGCUUGUCCAGGACCAUAUGGGCAAAUAAGGGACUGAAUUGAAGACAGACUUAAAAGUGCUUACAAAAAACCCAACAACACACACGUAGUUGGUCUGACCAAGCUGCUGUCUCUCUUUUACCAUGAAAUGAUUUCAUUUCCAUGUGAAUUGAGUUUGUAUAAAAUCAUACAGCAACAACAAAAAAUGCACAUCCUCACUUUUAUUAAAAAAAAAAAAACUAAGAAAAAAAAGUUAACUGUGUUAAUGUUGAACGUGGGUUCCACAUGCAGGUACAGGUACUGUAUGUAUCAAAGACUGCAAAGGGCUGAAACAUGAUGAAGGAAUGCCAUUUGUUUGAGUGCUGUGCGAUAUGGGAAAUUUUUCAUUUUCUCUUGCUUAAUCCAAUUGAUGCAUUUGAUUAACUGUGGGACUCAGCCUGAAUUCAUUACUUGUACUUGGUGAGCGAGGCACAAAGAUCAUUAGAGUAGCACCGGAGCGAACCUCAUACCCCACAUCCAAAAAUGGCCAUAUAAGUGAUAGAGGGUUAUAUCAUACAGUAAACAUUUUAAUAUUGCACCACAAUAUAUUAUUGUAAGAUACCACAGCACUAGUUUGUAUUAUUUUAUAUUUAUGUUCUAGCACCAAAUUACUUGCAGUACAUGUUUUGUAAACUGGCGGCAACUAACUAGUUGCCAUGUCAUGUCUUCCUCAGCAAUUUCAUGUUGGUGUAUAGACAUGUUUGUCACAAGCAGUGUAGUGCUUUCACUUCUCUUUUUGAGAGAGGUGGUGCUCGUGAGCUUACAUGAAUGACUGUCUCUUACCGGUACUUGCCCUGCUAUUCAAUGGCGACCAGUCCAGGGUGCAGCCAGCUGGAAUAAGCUCCAGCUUUCUCAUGAACCUUAACGGGUGACAUAGCAAAGGAAAUGUGUGGAUGUUGUAGAAAAGACACUUCCAUCUCACCUCUCCAUUGUUUCAUAUUUGGGAAACAAUGUUAUAAAUUCAUUAACACACAGUCUCCCUGUUCCAAACAUUUUGGUUAUAUUUUGUAAUAAAAAAAUACUUUGCUUCA